UACGUAGGGUGCAAGCGUUAAUCGGAAUUACUGGGCGUAAAGCGUGCGCAGGCGGCUAUGCAAGACAGAUGUGAAAUCCCCGGGCUCAACCUGGGAACUGCAUUUGUGACUGCAUGGCUAGAGUGCGGCAGAGGGGGAUGGAAUUCCGCGUGUAGCAGUGAAAUGCGUAGAUAUGCGGAGGAACACCGAUGGCGAAGGCAAUCCCCUGGGCCUGCACUGACGCCCAUGCACGAAAGCGUGGGGAGCAAACAGG
RNAcentral lists this ribosomal RNA (253 nucleotides) under uncultured bacterium. Its description in RNAcentral is "partial 16S ribosomal RNA". It matches the Rfam family "Bacterial small subunit ribosomal RNA", at positions 524 to 776 of the family's 1533-position model. The record is from RNAcentral.